Chiloscyllium plagiosum (whitespotted bambooshark) is the source of this 1224-nucleotide non-coding RNA. The record is from RefSeq and is a predicted model, not a curated record. NCBI's taxonomy places the organism in Eukaryota, Metazoa, Chordata, Chondrichthyes, Orectolobiformes, Hemiscylliidae.
GAAAAUAGGAACAAGCAAAGGUCAUUCAACUUUUUGAGCCAAGUUUCCCAUUCCGUUCUAUGUUUCCGUAGGCAAAGUAUGGAAAGACCAAUGUCGAAUCAUGGGUACAAUUCGAAAGGAGCAGUGAGACAUUGAUAAGAUCAUUUUUUUUUGUUUUGGUUGCCUCGGGCCUCCUCCUGAUGUCCUCCAGUGGGAGAGUGGGGCCCUGUGUAUCUCCAUCUCCAUCUCCACUCCAUCUUUGGUGGCGGCAUUGGCAAACGAGCCAGGACCCCAUUGGUCAACUCAGAACCAGGACCCGUUAGUUGAUGUCCAGCGUAAGAGGAGGCUGUGGGACCCGCACAGUGUUACCAUCUCCAGCUCGGAGGCGGUGGAAGUGGAAGCAACGGUGUCAGUGGUGGCAGAAGAGAAACACAUUGCCAGGACCAUGGCGACGAUGUCAGACAGUAGCAAAUGGAGGAGACGAGAAAGUGAAGCAUGUGGACAGGGAAAGAGUGCUAACCUGAUCACUGUGUGAAGGCCCUCAUUUAUUGCAAAAGUAAACCAUACUUCUGAGACAGCAGCCAGAACUGGUAACAGUCCAAAGGACCAAACAUCAGGGCAGAACGCUCCCCAGUCUCCCACUUAACGGUAUCAGUGCAGCACUUGGCCUUGUUUAUUUCAGUUUCAGUCAGCUACAUAAGGCCAGGUUAACCACAGUUUACAUGACCCAGCCACCAGGAUGGCCAGCAACUACCCCUCAAUGACCCCCAUUCUAACACUGGAAGACCAAUCACAGUAGCCAAAUCUCAUCUGUCAUCCUGGUGUUUAUACACAGAUAGCACAUGACACUUAGUCAACACUAUCAGGUGUGGAAUGAUGAACCCGUGCUGAGAAUUGAAGCUUUUUGUUUUAUUAUGAAUUGACAAGGGAGGUCAGGGAAGUAAAAGAGCUUUAGAAGUGGGACGGAUUUUCUUUAAUUAUGAUGCAAACACCAGUACAGAUUGACUGAGGGUAGGAAGGCCUAGGCUGAUGAUAUCAACAACACACUAGGCAGUAUUCUUGCCUCAGCCAUAAGUUUGCAGGUUCAAAUUCCCCUCCAGCAGACUAGGCCCAGAAUGCAGCCUCACAUUUUAUUGAGGGAAAGCUGUACUGUCAUCAUGACACAAGAUGUCAAACUAUAAACUUCUUGUGGAUGUAAAAAUUCCAUAAAAUGUGAAGAAAAAUGAAGCUCCAAGGUGUGUUGGU